GUUUGAUUUACCUGAUGAUGUUCUCUAUGAACGUUACAGGUUUUCCUCGGACGGCCUCAAUAUUCAGGUAGCAUGAAGUCUAAGCAAUACACUAAAAUUUGCCAAGCUCCAGGUUCAAAUUUGUUAGUCAUCAUUCAGAAUUCAUUGAAGCAGAUUAGAAAACUCUUAACCCCAAAUGUGUCUGCAGAUGACGUGACCAUCAGAUGAUGGAGAAAAAAAAAAGGCAGUGUGAGGAAAUCACUGUUUAUGCGUUGAAAUAUGUACAAAUAAAAUCUUCCAAUAAACUUACAAACUACUUUAAAGGAUGUUUUUAGAUUUAUUUUUAUUUGCUCCCACGUACUCUUUUCCCCACUGCUGUUGUAUCUGAAAUAAUGAGGUCAGUGAUGGUGGUGAUCACACACGCUGCAUGACAAUAUAUUAGGGGGCCAUAAAUUUAUGAACGCACAAAUGUAAUUUACACAACCGGUGAUUUUUUUUUUUUUGCCGGCA
This 489-nucleotide long non-coding RNA is filed under the name Xyrichtys novacula (pearly razorfish). The record is from RNAcentral. Lineage: Eukaryota; Metazoa; Chordata; Actinopteri; Labriformes; Labridae.